Molecule: ribosomal RNA, 453 nt
Rfam family: Bacterial small subunit ribosomal RNA
GGACGAACGCUGGCGGCGUGCCUAAUACAUGCAAGUCGAGCGGGGAGCUUCGGCUCCUAGCGGCGAACGGGUGAGUAACACGUGGGCAACCUGCCCGCAAGCUCGGGAUAACUUCGGGAAACCGGAGCUAAUACCGGAUACGCUUUUCCUCCGCAUGGAGGAAAAGGGAAAGACUUCGGUCGCUUGCGGAUGGGCCCGCGGCGCAUUAGCUAGUUGGUGAGGUAACGGCUCACCAAGGCRACGAUGCGUAGCCGACCUGAGAGGGUGACCGGCCACACUGGGACUGAGACACGGCCCAGACUCCUACGGGAGGCAGCAGUAGGGAAUUUUCCGCAAUGGGCGAAAGCCUGACGGAGCAACGCCGCGUGAGUGAUGACGGCCUUCGGGUUGUAAAACUCUGUUCUGAAGGAAGAAGUCCUGACGGUACUUCAGGAGAAAGCCCCGGCUAACUAC